RNAcentral lists this ribosomal RNA (303 nucleotides) under Triticum aestivum (bread wheat). Its description in RNAcentral is "partial small subunit ribosomal RNA". The record is from RNAcentral. Lineage: Eukaryota; Viridiplantae; Streptophyta; Magnoliopsida; Poales; Poaceae.
AUGCGACAGAUAAAGCAGGAGUCCAAUCAAGACAACUUGCAACUUUGGCGUUGUCACAUUGGAGUCCGUGCUCAGCAGCAAUGGGAGACUGUCGUUGAUGCCCGACCCAUGAUGCCGACGAAGGAACGGGAGUCGAUGAGGAGUAGACGCCGUGGGUUUGUGAACUGGCCAAGCCACCGUUGUCCGUUUGGUAAUGCGACUUGCCCUGAUUUUGACGUCGUCUACCAACAUCCGACGAAGGGAACCCGUCCCGGUUUCCAUCUUGAUGGUAAGUUCUCUAAUCUUCUAUCUCAUGGGAUGUGA